Molecule: ribosomal RNA, 174 nt
Filed under: uncultured bacterium
Lineage: Bacteria
Description: partial 16S ribosomal RNA
Rfam family: Bacterial small subunit ribosomal RNA
Source: RNAcentral
UACUCCUACGGGAGGCAGCAGUGGGGAAUAUUGGACAAUGGGGGCAACCCUGAUCCAGCAAUGCCGCGUGUGUGAAGAAGGUCUUCGGAUUGUAAAGCACUUUCGACGGGGACGAUGAUGACGGUACCCGUAGAAGAAGCCCCGGCUAACUUCGUGCCAGCAGCCGCGGUAAUG